UAAAACUCAAAUAUUGUUGAAAGUUUAGAUAGAAAUACACAAAUUUAAAGUUCAGACCCAAACAACAUGAUACUCUAUGACAAACUCAAAUAUUGCUGAAAGUUAAGAUAGAAAUUCACAAAUUUAAAUUUCAGACCCAAACAACAUAAUACACUACGACAAACCAUCCACUGAGUACUAUCUAGGAGGACUUUAAGCAUUUUUGGGCGGCGAAGAUGAAGGUUUAGCUUACCCAGCCUCAUCAUGUGGUUUAUUUGUGUCUCUUGCGAUGGUAGUACUCAGUGGAC
This 287-nucleotide long non-coding RNA is filed under the name Setaria viridis. RNAcentral's name for it is "long non-coding RNA (SVIR_LNC005736)". Lineage: Eukaryota; Viridiplantae; Streptophyta; Magnoliopsida; Poales; Poaceae. The record is from RNAcentral.